GCUUUUCGUCAGCAUUCUUGAACGGAGUGCCCUGGAGUUGCCAAGGUGAUCUGGAGUUCUCCCAAAUACUCUUUAAUGAACAUAUAUCACUUACUCAUUCAAGACCUAUCUACUGUGUCCCUACUGCACACUAAGGAUUAUGCUAGAGGCUAUGGAUAUAGGGGAGAGCAAGACAAUCCCUAUCCUCAAGGAGCUUAUUGUCUGGUGGGAAGGUUGACCAUUCACUAGGCAAUUACAACACAAUGAGAUAAGCACCAGGAUGGAAGAUGUACCGGGUAUUACAGAAGCAGUGGCCCAUCAAUCAACUCAGCUCACAGGAAGCCAAAUUUUCAGCUCACAAUUAAACUGGAAGUCAACCAAAGAGCUCAUCAUGGAAUGAAUUUAUGACUUUCAUAUGGGUCCAGCAAAAAAAUAAAAAAAUAAAAAAGCAGCACAGAUAAAGAGCUGAGUUAAUUACAGUUCUAUAGAGACAGAACUCACUGCUACCUACAGCGGCAGCUUCUCACCUUCAUUCUGGCUUUGCAGCCACCAGCCUCAGCAGAUCCCAUAGUUUUCUAAAUGGGAGUGUGUGAACUGAAAGAAAAAGGGGCCACAGGGACUGAUGUAACUAUGAGCUGCUGAAUUCAUGGUGCUACUUUGGAAAUUAAGACUGUACUAUACAGUGCAAGGCAAAGAAAGCACGUGAAGAAGCCUGAUUAAAAACAUUAAGAAUUGUAAGGAUUUGUUUAGAAGAAUCUCUGGUUGCCUCGUCUUCCAAUAAAUAUUGCAUAAUUCACCUUUGGUUGGUUUGAAAGCAGGUCAUAACUGAACCUCCCUAAGAAAAGGGGCCACCUGUGUGGAAUUGCCCCUGAAGCUGGCAGUGGUGGGGGUGUGAAUAAGCCAGUUGUUCUGGCAGUGGACUUGUGAAGCUUAAAAAUGAAGAAGUGAGAAGCACUGAAAAGGCACUCUGGGGUUGCUGGGCAGACGUUUUGAAACUCCGGCUUUAGAACGAAUUACUCAGGAAGCCUGAGAGAAGUGACAAUUCUCAGCCUACCCCUAGAAACUGUGAUUGAGUAGAUCCGCGGAGGGGCCUAUGGAUCUGCACUCCAACUACAGCCCAGAAGUUUUCCCUGAAAAAUUUUCCCCAAAGGCGAGGAGAAACUUGCAGUGAGGAUCACCACAGAAGAAGCUGAGAAAAUUACCAUCUUAAUGAGCCCUGCAAUAAUGCAAUCAGAGGGUGAUGAGGAAAACUGGGAGAAGGAUAGGGUGCUAUGGGAGCUCCCGGGGGAAAGAUCAACCUGCCCCGACUGAGCUGAAGAAGAAGCUGUUCAAACGCCGGCAGGUGCUGAAUCGGGAGCGGCGUCUGAGGCACCGGUGGUCGGGGCUGUGAUAGACCAAGGGCUGAUCACGCGGCACCACCUCAAGAAGCGGGCGUCCAGUGCACGUGCCAACAUUACUCUGUCAGGGAAGAAGCGCAGAAAACUCCUCCAGCAGAUCCAGCUUGCCCAGAAUGAGAAGGCAGCCAUGGAAGUGGAAGCCCCUUCAAAGCCAGCCAGGACUAGUGAACCACAGCUCAAAAGGCAAAAGAAGACAAAAGCUCCCCAGGAUGUAGAAAUGAAGGACCUUGAAGAUGAGAGCUAAACCUCUUCCAGAAGAAGAUUCUCAACUGGAGCCAGCCUUCAGACUCAGUGGUUGUUUUAGAGGAUUUUGACAAAAGCAUUGCCCCUUUUCACCCUCCAGAUUUCCUCCUACCUAAUGGCCUACUGACUUCCCCUAGAGGGAUGUCUUUGGGAGGGAAGAAGGUACAGAAGAAAGAUUGGAGAAGGGCCUCUCUAGCAGUCAACUCCAUUUGUAAUAAAGCCCUAGCACUCUGAAAAAAAAAAAAAAA
Molecule: RNA transcript, 1867 nt
Organism: Piliocolobus tephrosceles (Ugandan red Colobus)
Lineage: Eukaryota; Metazoa; Chordata; Mammalia; Primates; Cercopithecidae
Exons: 9
Source: RefSeq, a predicted model, not a curated record